GAUGAACGCUGGCGGCGUGCCUAAUACAUGCAAGUAGAACGCUGAAGCUUGGUGCUUGCACCGAGCGGAUAAGUUGCGAACGGGUGAGUAACGCGUAGGUAACCUGCCUCUUAGCGGGGGAUAACUAUUGGAAACGAUAGCUAAUACCGCAUAAAAGUCGAUAUCGCAUGAUAUUGAUUUGAAAGGUGCAAAUGCAUCACUAAGAGAUGGACCUGCGUUGUAUUAGCUAGUUGGUGAGGUAACGGCUCACCAAGGCGACGAUACAUAGCCGACCUGAGAGGGUGAUCGGCCACACUGGGACUGAGACACGGCCCAGACUCCUACGGGAGGCAGCAGUAGGGAAUCUUCGGCAAUGGGGGCAACCCUGACCGAGCAACGCCGCGUGAGUGAAGAAGGUUUUCGGAUCGUAAAGCUCUGUUGUAAGAGAAGAACGAGUGUGAGAGUGGAAAGUUCACACUGUGACGGUAACUUACCAGAAAGGGACGGCUAACUACGUG
Molecule: ribosomal RNA, 497 nt
Filed under: uncultured bacterium
Lineage: Bacteria
Description: partial 16S ribosomal RNA
Rfam family: Bacterial small subunit ribosomal RNA
Source: RNAcentral